RNAcentral lists this ribosomal RNA (698 nucleotides) under uncultured bacterium. RNAcentral's name for it is "bacterial SSU rRNA". It matches the Rfam family "Bacterial small subunit ribosomal RNA", at positions 113 to 823 of the family's 1533-position model. The record is from RNAcentral.
ACGCGUGAGUAACCUGCCUCAUACAACGGGAUACCCGAGGGAAACUUCGGUUAAUACGGUAUAAGACCACACUACCGCAUGGUAGAGGGGUAAACGGGGCAACCUGGUAUGAGAUGGACUCGCGUCGCAUUAGCUAGUUGGUGAGGUAACGGCCCACCAAGGCGACGAUGCGUAGCCGACCUGAGAGGGUGAUCGGCCACAUUGGGACUGAGAUACGGCCCAGACUCCUACGGGAGGCAGCAGUGGGGAAUAUUGGGCAAUGGAGGAAACUCUGACCCAGCAAUGCCGCGUGAAUGAAGAAGGUCUUCGGAUUGUAAAGUUCUUUAGUCAGGGAAGAAGUCAAUGACGGUACCUGAAGAAUAAGCUCCGGCUAACUACGUGCCAGCAGCCGCGGUAAUACGUAGGGAGCAAGCGUUGUUCGGAAUGACUGGGCGUAAAGGGUGCGUAGGCGGUUGUACAAGUUAGAAGUGAAAUACCCAGGGCUUAACUCGGGUGCUGCUUCUAAAACUGUAUGACUUGAGUGCAGUAGAGGUUAGUGGAAUUCCUAGUGUAGCGGUGGAAUGUGUAGAUAUUAGGAGGAACACCAGAGGCGAAGGCGGCUAACUGGACUGCAACUGACGCUGAGGCACGAAAGUGUGGGGAGCAAACAGGAUUAGAUACCCUGGUAGUCCACACUGUAAACGAUGGAUACUAGAUGU